Scylla paramamosain (green mud crab) is the source of this 259-nucleotide long non-coding RNA. RefSeq lists it as uncharacterized. NCBI's taxonomy places the organism in Eukaryota, Metazoa, Arthropoda, Malacostraca, Decapoda, Portunidae. The record is from RefSeq and is a predicted model, not a curated record. The transcript has 3 exons.
UCUUAAAACUUUAGUUGCUAUUCUCAGCAUUACGUGGCUGUAAAUAUGAAUGGGCUGAUCACGUCUCGUCGUCACAACUGAUUCCACGUACAGUACAUUAGUCGCAGCGUAAAGGUGUGGUCACGUCCUGAAGAACCAGAGCACCACCAUGUCUAGCCCAGCAGUGCUUGUAACAACAGAAACACUUCCUCCUGGAACAUGCACUGUCUGCAGAAAAGGCAAAAUAAAAGAUAGUGCCUCAUGCUGCACAUGGAUUACC